Molecule: ribosomal RNA, 862 nt
Filed under: Halobasidium xiangyangense
Lineage: Eukaryota; Fungi; Basidiomycota; Cystobasidiomycetes; Cystobasidiales; Cystobasidiaceae
Description: partial large subunit ribosomal RNA
Rfam family: Eukaryotic large subunit ribosomal RNA
Source: RNAcentral
CCCCUAGUAACGGCGAGUGAAGUGGGAAAAGCUCAACUUUAAAAUCUGGCGUCUUCGGCGUCCGAGUUGUAGUCUCCAGAAGCGUUUUCUGUACUGGUCCGUGUAUGAGUCUGUUGGAACACAGCGUCAUAGAGGGUGACAACCCCGUUCAUGCCACGGAUCCCAGUGCUUUGUGAUACGCUCUCGAAGAGUCGAGUUGUUUGGGAAUGCAGCUCAAAUUGGGUGGUAAAUUCCAUCUAAAGCUAAAUAUUGGCGAGAGACCGAUAGCAAACAAGUACCGUGAGGGAAAGAUGAAAAGCACUUUGGAAAGAAGGUUAACAGUACGUGAAAUUGUUGAAAGGGAAACGAUUGAAGUCAGACGUGCGUGUUGCGAUUCAGCUCUGGUUCGCCAGAGUGUAUUUCGUAGCGUUGCAGGCCAACAUCGGUUUUCUAAGUCGGAUAAAGGUUUGAGGAAGGUGGCGCUCCAGGGCGUGUUAUAGCCUCUUGCUGAAUACGAUUUGGGAGACCGAGGAACGCAGAGCGCCGCAAGGCAAAGGGUCCGCCCUUUUCGCUCUUAGGAUGUUGGUGAAAUGGCUUUAAACGACCCGUCUUGAAACACGGACCAAGGAGUCUAACAUGCUUGCGAGUGUUUGGGUGGCAAACCCAUACGCGUAAUGAAAGUGAAUGGAGGUGGGAUCCUGCAAGGGAGCACCAUCGACCGAACCGGAUUUUUAAUGAAGGUUUUGAGUAAGAGCACGUAUGUUGGGACCCGAAAGAUGGUGAACUAUGCCUGAAUAGGGUGAAGCCAGAGGAAACUCUGGUGGAGGCUCGUAGCGGUUCUGACGUGCAAAUCGAUCGUCAAAUUUGGGUAUAGGGGCGAAAG